ACCUAGAGUGUCAUCCAAAGUAAAAAUCGAGAGUCACUUAGAACAUAUCUCCCAGUAAUGUAAGAUGGAGUGUGAGGUGAGAAAGUUCAAAAAUCAAAAAUGUUCUGUAAAACAUGCUCUUAGUAAUAUAUAUAUUUAUAGAACAGUCACUUUAGUACGCUGAUUGCCUUAGGCUGCUAAACUGCAUCAAGUUUCACUUGUUGACUUAAUCUUCCAAAGACUUGGUGUGCUGGUAAGCUUAACCAUACGUGUCUGAAAACAGGAAUUAUCCGUUGACAGGAGGUUUGCUCCUUUUAGUUUAGCUGGGAGGCGAUUUCUGGCCAAAACUAGUUUUGCAUCUCUUACAUCCUAAUUGUUGUUGUUUUUUUCCUGGCAAUUUUAUAUAAUGAGACUAAUGCGUUGACGUUAGAUAUGCUCGCUUAGCUUGGGUGUAGAGCAGCUGAUGGCAGAAAACUAGCUCUCGUGUCCUUGGUGAUGACUUCUAGAAGAUUAGAAAAAAUAAGCACCUGUGUUUGCAUAAGUCACGUCUUCUGUAGAACUGUUUGAGAACGAAUAGAUGUAGAUAGUUAUUUUGUACACAUGACACUAUUUUCCUGGUUUGCAUCACUGAG
This is a non-coding RNA of Pelobates cultripes (western spadefoot toad), 611 nucleotides long. Lineage: Eukaryota; Metazoa; Chordata; Amphibia; Anura; Pelobatidae. The record is from the annotation of a GenBank genome assembly.